AAACUACACUGGCCACUGGCUGCUUCCUGAAAAUCAACCAUAGAGAAACUAUAGGAACUGGAGGGAAACUUGGAUUUGAGGAACGAACGACUAAAAAUAAAUAAAACACUAUGAGAAGUCCCUGGGGAGUCUGAAGACUCAGAAAGUACAUCAAGUAAAGGCUGAGCUACAGACAUUUCCCAGCACAGAGCCAUGUGUAGUAACCAAUACUCUCAGGGGAAGAGGAAUUCUUCAGAAGAAAUAGCCUCUGUUCCCAGGUUCCAGUGUGUGCUUGUACAAAAGUUCCAAGUUGUCCUGCUCACCUGCACCUGUCUUUCAUCUUCCCUUCCCACUUGUCUGUUCUGUAGUUUUAAACUUUAGGCACUGGAAGUGAAAUGAACAUAUAUGUACAUACA
Long non-coding RNA from Bos taurus (domestic cattle), 395 nucleotides. The record is from Ensembl. NCBI's taxonomy places the organism in Eukaryota, Metazoa, Chordata, Mammalia, Artiodactyla, Bovidae.